This 591-nucleotide ribosomal RNA is filed under the name Triticum aestivum (bread wheat). RNAcentral's name for it is "partial small subunit ribosomal RNA". The record is from RNAcentral. Lineage: Eukaryota; Viridiplantae; Streptophyta; Magnoliopsida; Poales; Poaceae.
AUGGGGACAAUAAGUCCAAAUGUGAUGGCUCCUUCCCUCCACGUCGAAGACCUUAUGGCCGAGCUUGUCUCAUGGUGGUCGUCGAGCUCAUCUGGAUUGCGGCUGUAUGUGUGCAAUUUGAAAAUUGGCUAUAAGUUGGCUUCCAUGGACAUGCAUUUCUCAACGUAUGAUAUCCUCCCGACUCUGACUGAACUAUGUUUGAUGCAAAUUCAGACAUGCUCUGCAUUUUUUGAUAGCAAUGCGGGCUGCAGAGAUCGUCUGCGUAGCUCUGCGGGCGUUGAUGUUAAUCCUGUCGAAGUAGCCGUCACAAACUCCAAGAAUUGUUUUGACUUUGCGCUCAUGAAAUGCUUUUUGUCUAUUUUUUUUUUAUUGAUCCGAAGACAGGGAUCAACUGAACUAUUUUUCAGUUUGCAUCCUCUGCUUUUUCACAGUUCUUUCAGGAUUUGCUUAUUCACAAAUGUCUGUGCUGUUUCUGCAGGCAUUAUUAUGUCACCUUCAGCAUUGGGGAUCCGGCCAAGCCUUACUUCCUGGGUAGCCCAAGUUUGGUUGACUGUUGGUUGUGCAGUCCUUUAUUCUGUAACUGUACCUUGA